This 189-nucleotide ribosomal RNA is filed under the name uncultured bacterium. RNAcentral describes it as "partial 16S ribosomal RNA". It matches the Rfam family "Bacterial small subunit ribosomal RNA", at positions 338 to 524 of the family's 1533-position model. The record is from RNAcentral.
CCUACGGGAGGCAGCAGUGAGGAAUAUUGGUCAAUGGGCGGGAGCCUGAACCAGCCAAGUCGCGUGCAGGAUGACGGCUCUAUGAGUUGUAAACUGCUUUUGUACGAGGGUAAACCCCGAUACGUGUAUCGGGUUGAAAGUAUCGUACGAAUAAGGAUCGGCUAACUCCGUGCCAGCAGCCGCGGUAAU